RNAcentral lists this long non-coding RNA (350 nucleotides) under Triticum aestivum (bread wheat). RNAcentral's name for it is "long non-coding RNA (TAES_LNC019869)". The record is from RNAcentral. Lineage: Eukaryota; Viridiplantae; Streptophyta; Magnoliopsida; Poales; Poaceae.
AACAGACCAAUCUCUAAUGAAAUGCUAUUUGCUACACUUUUUAAAUAGAAAAAUUAUUCCGAUCAGCCAGCCAUAACUCAACAGACCAAACCGAACCCACAUUUUCUAAAGUAAAGAAAUUAUUUCCCUUGAUAGAUCAAGAUGCCAAAGUGUCGUUUGCCCGACUGCUAUGUUCCUACACACGCAGAGCAAAUUAUUUUUCAAAUCAAGGAAUUAAGAAAAGGAAGAAUAUCAUGAUGUUCGUGGCACUUGCCAGGUCUGCCAUGCUACCAUGGCAUCGUCUUUUUAGUCUCUACCCACAUGCCGAGUUGAGAAAUAAUCUUCAGAUAUACCCACUGCUAACACACUCA